Molecule: ribosomal RNA, 253 nt
Filed under: uncultured bacterium
Lineage: Bacteria
Description: partial 16S ribosomal RNA
Rfam family: Bacterial small subunit ribosomal RNA
Source: RNAcentral
GGCAGAGGGUGCAACCGUUGUUCGGAAUUACUGGGCGUAAAGCGCGUGUAGGCGGCAGGGCGUGUCGGAUGUGAAAUCCCGUGGCUCAACCACGGAAGUGCACCCGAAACUGCCCAGCUUGAGUCUCGGAGAGGAAGGCGGAAUGCUUGGUGUAGAGGUGAAAUUCGUAGAUAUCAAGCGGAACACCGGUGGCGAAGGCGGCCUUCUGGACGAUGACUGACGCUGAGACGCGAAAGCGUGGGGAGCAAACAGG